GUUUCUCCAUAAUUUCUUCUUCUUCUUCUUCUCCUUUCUUCUUUGUCGUAGUUUCUUUCUUCUAUUCAAUCGGUUUCUUUCCGUUCAUUACUUUCUCUCUGAAAGGAAAGGAAAAGAAAGGGAGAGGUUACAUCACACAUACCAAAUGAAGACCUCUCUCAGGAAAUUGAGAGGUUUCGCACUUCGCCAUGCUGACCACAAGGACCGAAGAGAUCUUCACCCUUUGGCUCCCACCGAUGAGCUUGCUCUGGC
Molecule: unclassified non-coding RNA, 252 nt
Filed under: Hevea brasiliensis (rubber tree)
Lineage: Eukaryota; Viridiplantae; Streptophyta; Magnoliopsida; Malpighiales; Euphorbiaceae
Source: RNAcentral